AUUGCACGUGUGCCCUGCAGACAGUCCUGGACAUUUUUUAUGAGGGGUAGAUGAAUAUAUUUAUUUUCCUGCAUAAAUUGAUGAGAACUCUUUUUGUUUACUGACAUAGUAUGUCUACACACAUAAAGCAGGUGACUUGCACUGUUCAGCGAUCUUCAGAUGUUGUUGCAACUCCACAGCAGCAAUUGAUUAUAUACAGCAAGACAACACAUCACAACAGGGUGUAUCUGACCACCAGUGAAGUAACUAUCUUCUGGAUGAAACUACAGACGCUCGAGUGAGAGAAUCAGCCAAAGUAAUCGUCAUAUUGUCCUCUGAAGAUGUCUGCACUGGCAAAUCUAAAGACGGAUUAUAUCACAGUUCUGAGACGCUCUCCUGUUUUCGGCUCCUUUCCGUUAAGUCUUAUGUUAAUUGGAGUGGAGGGAUGGAUUGACGUUAACAUUUCGUGCCCAUGCAAUAUUCGUUUUAAUAAAUAUCUAACAGCAUCCAUGUUCAUUGGACCUCCUCUGUUUAUAUCUGUGUUGAUGUUCAUCGUGUUAAGACCCUUUAAAAAUAAAUGCCGUCCACAAGCAGAGGAGAUCGAAGGUGAUCAUCAGAAUUGCUGGAAAGCCUUGGGACAUUGUCUGAUUCCUGCUAUGAUUUGGACAAUCGUCAUGUUUUUUGAUGGUGACUAUAUGGCUUGUUGCUUGACAACUUGGCAAGGAAAGUAUGUUUUUGAUGAAGAAUUAAACAGAAUGUGGUGUAAACCUAUUGAACAGGCCUAUGCAGGAAACCAGAGCGAUCCACAACGCGAGUUUCAGGGGUACAUCACCAUAUCAAAGACUUGUGGUUAUGCAGUGCUUGGUCUCUUCUGUCUUCUUAUCUUUUUCAUAUUGGGUCUUCAUGACUGCUCUAUUAGUGGAAAAUGUGCUUGUUGUGAGAAGAAGCAAGAUCAGGACCAAGAUAGUGCAGAGCGUGCACCACUUCAGCAAAACAAUCCUGACCCAAGCACCUCCAACACUGCAGUUUAAGAUGAAGUUAACUUGGAUUAAAAUGUACAAAUAUUGUUGUCAAAUCUUGCUGCUUUCACUUUUGAAAUGUUAAAACAUUUAAAGUCUUCUUUGUUUUGAUGUUUCUUACACGUUUCCAUUCAUUUCAUGCCUUGACUGAAAUCAGCUAUUUUUUAUAUUUCUUGUUUGAAAACCUAUUUGUUGUCAAAGACAUCUUUUUAGACAAACAACACUUUUGUUGUGUAAGACAUAUUUGAAUUGUGCCACGAUUUCUCUGUCCUGUCUGACAU
Long non-coding RNA from Triplophysa dalaica, 1279 nucleotides. RefSeq lists it as uncharacterized. The record is from RefSeq and is a predicted model, not a curated record. NCBI's taxonomy places the organism in Eukaryota, Metazoa, Chordata, Actinopteri, Cypriniformes, Nemacheilidae. The transcript has 4 exons.